GUAAAUACAGUUUAAUCAAAACAUUAGAUUGUGAAUCUAAUAAUAGGGUCUCGCAACCCCUUAUUUACC
Molecule: transfer RNA, 69 nt
Filed under: Pongo abelii (Sumatran orangutan)
Lineage: Eukaryota; Metazoa; Chordata; Mammalia; Primates; Hominidae
Rfam family: tRNA
About the family: Transfer RNA (tRNA) molecules are approximately 80 nucleotides in length. Their secondary structure includes four short double-helical elements and three loops (D, anti-codon, and T loops). Further hydrogen bonds mediate the characteristic L-shaped molecular structure. tRNAs have two regions of fundamental functional importance: the anti-codon, which is responsible for specific mRNA codon recognition, and the 3' end, to which the tRNAs corresponding amino acid is attached (by aminoacyl-tRNA synthetases). tRNAs cope with the degeneracy of the genetic code in two manners: having more than one tRNA (with a specific anti-codon) for a particular amino acid; and 'wobble' base-pairing, i.e. permitting non-standard base-pairing at the 3rd anti-codon position.
Source: Rfam by way of RNAcentral